GUAGGUGGCAAGCGUUGUCCGGAAUUAUUGGGCGUAAAGCGCGCGCAGGUGGUUCUUUAAGUCUGAUGUGAAGGCCCCCGGCUCAACCGGGGAGGGUCAUUGGAAACUGGGGAACUUGAGUGCAGGAGAGGAAAGUGGAAUUCCACGUGUAGCGGUGAAAUGCGUAGAUAUGUGGAGGAACACCAGUGGCGAAGGCGACUUUCUGGCCUGUAACUGACACUGAGGCGCGAAAGCGUGGGGAGCAAACAGGGAUUAGAUACCCUGGUAGUCCACGCCGUAAACGAUGAGUGCUAAGUGUUGGGGGGGUUUCCGCCCCCUCAGUGCUGCAGCUAACGCAUUAAGCACUCCGCCUGGGAGUACGGUCGCAAGACUG
RNAcentral lists this ribosomal RNA (373 nucleotides) under uncultured organism. RNAcentral's name for it is "partial 16S ribosomal RNA". It matches the Rfam family "Bacterial small subunit ribosomal RNA", at positions 527 to 896 of the family's 1533-position model. The record is from RNAcentral.